Molecule: ribosomal RNA, 253 nt
Filed under: uncultured bacterium
Lineage: Bacteria
Description: partial 16S ribosomal RNA
Rfam family: Bacterial small subunit ribosomal RNA
Source: RNAcentral
UACGAAGGGGGCUAGCGUUGCUCGGAAUCACUGGGCGUAAAGCGCACGUAGGCGGACUCUUAAGUCGGUGGUGAAAUCCUGGAGCUCAACUCCAGAACUGCCUUCGAUACUGAGAGUCUCGAGUCCGGGAGAGGUGAGUGGAAUUCCCAGUGUAGCGGUGAAAUGCGUAGAUAUUGGGAGGAACACCAGUGGCAAAGGCGGCUCACUGGACCGGUUCUGACGCUGAGGCGCGAAAGCGUGGGGAGCAAACGGG